Molecule: ribosomal RNA, 497 nt
Filed under: uncultured bacterium
Lineage: Bacteria
Description: partial 16S ribosomal RNA
Rfam family: Bacterial small subunit ribosomal RNA
Source: RNAcentral
GAUGAACGCUGGCGGCGUGCCUAAUACAUGCAAGUCGAGCGAACAGACGAGGAGCUUGCUCCUCUGACGUUAGCGGCGGACGGGUGAGUAACACGUGGAUAACCUACCUAUAAGACUGGGAUAACUUCGGGAAACCGGAGCUAAUACCGGAUAAUAUAUUGAACCGCAUGGUUCAAUAGUGAAAGACGGUUUUGCUGUCACUUAUAGAUGGAUCCGCGCCGCAUUAGCUAGUUGGUAAGUUAACGGCUUACCAAGGCAACGAUGCGUAGCCGACCUGAGAGGGUGAUCGGCCACACUGGAACUGAGACACGGUCCAGACUCCUACGGGAGGCAGCAGUAGGGAAUCUUCGGCAAUGGGCGAAAGCCUGACGGAGCAACGCCGCGUGAGGGAUGAAGGUCUUCGGAUCGUAAAACUCUGUUAUUAGGGAAGAACAAAUGUGUAAGUAACUAUGCACGUCUUGACGGUACCUAAUCAGAAAGCCACGGCUAACUACGUG